AGACUUUCAACAAUGGAUCUCUUGGUUCCGGCAUCGAUGAAGAACGCAGCGAAAUGCGAUAACUAAUGUGAAUUGCAGAAUUCAGUGAAUCAUCGAGUCUUUGAACGCACAUUGCGCCCCCUGGUAUUCCGGGGGGCAUGCCUGUCCGAGCGUCAUU
RNAcentral lists this ribosomal RNA (157 nucleotides) under Aspergillus terreus. RNAcentral describes it as "5.8S ribosomal RNA". It matches the Rfam family "5.8S ribosomal RNA". Rfam says of the family: 5.8S ribosomal RNA (5.8S rRNA) is a component of the large subunit of the eukaryotic ribosome. It is transcribed by RNA polymerase I as part of the 45S precursor that also contains 18S and 28S rRNA. Functionally, it is thought that 5.8S rRNA may be involved in ribosome translocation. The record is from RNAcentral. Lineage: Eukaryota; Fungi; Ascomycota; Eurotiomycetes; Eurotiales; Aspergillaceae.